UGAUCCUGGCUCAGAUUGAACGCUGGCGGCAGGCCUAACACAUGCAAGUCGAGCGGUAACAGAAAGUAGCUUGCUACUUUGCUGACGAGCGGCGGACGGGUGAGUAAUGCUUGGGAACAUGCCUUGAGGUGGGGGACAACAGUUGGAAACGACUGCUAAUACCGCAUAAUGUCUACGGACCAAAGGGGGCUUCGGCUCUCGCCUUUAGAUUGGCCCAAGUGGGAUUAGCUAGUUGGUGAGGUAAUGGCUCACCAAGGCAACGAUCCCUAGCUGGUUUGAGAGGAUGAUCAGCCACACUGGAACUGAGACACGGUCCAGACUCCUACGGGAGGCAGCAGUGGGGAAUAUUGCACAAUGGGCGAAAGCCUGAUGCAGCCAUGCCGCGUGUGUGAAGAAGGCCUUCGGGUUGUAAAGCACUUUCAGUCAGGAGGAAAGGGUGUGAGUUAAUACCUCACAUCUGUGACGUUACUGACAGAAGAAGCACCGGCUAACUCCGUGCCAGCAGCCGCGGUAAUACGGAGGGUGCGAGCGUUAAUCGGAAUUACUGGGCGUAAAGCGUACGCAGGCGGUUUGUUAAGCGAGAUGUGAAAGCCCCGGGCUCAACCUGGGAACUGCAUUUCGAACUGGCAAACUAGAGUGUGAUAGAGGGUGGUAGAAUUUCAGGUGUAGCGGUGAAAUGCGUAGAGAUCUGAAGGAAUACCGAUGGCGAAGGCAGCCACCUGGGUCAACACUGACGCUCAUGUACGAAAGCGUGGGGAGCAAACGGGAUUAGAUACCCCGGUAGU
RNAcentral lists this ribosomal RNA (785 nucleotides) under uncultured marine bacterium. RNAcentral describes it as "bacterial SSU rRNA". It matches the Rfam family "Bacterial small subunit ribosomal RNA", at positions 14 to 794 of the family's 1533-position model. The record is from RNAcentral.